GCAUGCAGCAGUAGCAACUUGAACAAUGAUCUUAUUAGAUCUUAUAAGCUAAGUUGGCUUGGGCUUACCCAGUAUUUGAAUGGGAGACCACCACUGAAAUACUGAAGGUGCUGCAGUA
Molecule: ribosomal RNA, 118 nt
Organism: Chrysemys picta bellii (western painted turtle)
Lineage: Eukaryota; Metazoa; Chordata; Testudines; Emydidae
Source: Ensembl